This 1241-nucleotide unclassified non-coding RNA is filed under the name Hevea brasiliensis (rubber tree). The record is from RNAcentral. Lineage: Eukaryota; Viridiplantae; Streptophyta; Magnoliopsida; Malpighiales; Euphorbiaceae.
AUAAACAUCCUUAGCCAUCUCCUGUGCCAGUCCGUAAGAUUCUGGAUGUAUCCUCGUAUCAUCCAAUAAAUCAAUAAAUUGGCUGCUGCUUGCAGCUAAACCACUACGCCGGACACGCAAGAAACCAACUGCAUUAACAAACACCUUUUUACCGAGUCCAUGUACUGUCACAAAGUCUUUUCUAGUGAAAAUUGCUCCAGCCCUCACCAGAGACCUCUGUAAAGAUGCUGCCUUUCUAGGGCCAAGCCCAGCAAUGAACUGUAAAGGGGCAAAUAACCAUUCAUGGCUUGUAGCCAUAUUAAUAUCGAGCCCUACCUGGUUAGUAACAUCUACCAUAACCUGUUCAACCAUUGCAUAUUUCUCAUCAGGGUUGAGAAAAUUCUCCAACGAGCUGAGCUUCCAAGACAAAAUCUCCCUUGCUGGUCCACAGAGUGUUGCAACUGUUGCCAACGGAUUUUGCAGAUAACGGCCAAGAGCAGCAGCCCGCCUAACAAUGCCUGGCUGCCCAGCUAGUUGGUCAGAAGAAAUCCGAGAAUUUUCAUAAAGGCGAGGCAGAGACUCAUCACCAUACACAAUGCUUAAUUCAUCCAUCUCAUGUCCAACAUCUCUCGGAUUUUCCUCCACCAUCUUAAAAAUGAUCUCAUAUAUAUCAUCCUUCAGCCUAGUACAAGACAAAACAAAUUCACAGCUCCUAAAACCACAACAUGUGGUUGGUGAUCAGUCAUGAACUUCAAAACACGUUGCUGGUCAUUUUUCUUAUUUUGCUGGUCAUUAAUAUUUUGAGAACGCAAGGUGAGGGACCCAGCGUAAAGUACAUCUAGCACCUCCCCUGAUGAAUCUAGCAUCACAAAAGUGGUUGCUGGCUUCCCAGGGCCCCAGCAGCAGGCCAUGACCCUUGGUGCAGCUUCAUCAUCUGAAGAAACAUCAUUUUCUUUGCGUUGAUAUGGACCCACAGAAACUUUAUUCCACAAAGCCUUUCCAUACUCCCAAAGCAACCAGCUUUUAGCUCUACUUGUUAACAAGGAUCUUGCUUCUUUCUCCAUUGAAGGUAACAAAUAAGUGUACAGAGCAUCCUUCAAUAUCAAUGUCCUCUGCUCAUUCCAGAGUUGAGCAGACUUACUAACACCAUCACUAAGAUAAUGCUCAUUGCAGUCACCAAUCAACUUAUUCAUGUAUUUUUCUGGAAGCUUAAAAGUUAUUUGAAGAAGCUUCUCUUCUUCAGCCUUUUGAAUGAGAAACCA